AGAUCAUUUGGAUUGCAAUGGAGAUGAGAAGCGCACUGCAUCUUUAAAUGAUUCUUCAUCCACCGCAUGGGACACAGGCUCUUGGAGGAAAUGAUUAUGGCAGUUCAUAGAUGAACUUCACCUGGCUCUCAGAGUACCAAAUCGCACUGGAACCGAUCAUUUUAGACGUCGUGUACUUGGCUGAGACAGAAUUAAAAUUGCGAAGUACAGAAUGGGAUGAGCUGGAUAUGAUCAAACGCUACUCCAGAGGAGAAGGACAACCUCGGGAUCAACUUUCUCAAAAGAGGAAAAUGUCAAGCUUAGGAUGAGCAAAGCUGGAUUGGUCAGAAGGACAAUUUCAGGGGAUCGCGUUUUUUCAUGAGGUUUGUGGAUGCUUUGGACGCUCAUGGAAAAACCAAAAGGAGAAAUCAGCCCAGUGAAAGGCAAUCAUUCAAGAUAACACUAAAGUUUACUCAGAGGUAGAAAACGAAUUAAACCAAGAGUGUACUUCAAGACUAAGUCGAGAGAAUAGCAGCGAAAAUUUGUCACCAAGAUAUAGGGCUGUUAUCAAAGCGAAGCAGUUUCUGCCAUUUUGAGCUGUUUGUAAAAUCGAAACUUCAACUGAAAUUUAAUUCUGGAAAAAAGAACCGUUUUUUCUUAGGAUAUUUCAUGUUCAAUUUUUUUGUGUCAGCUUUUUUCCUAAUUAACAUCGGUUUGAACGGUUUCAAUUUUCCCGCCAAAAGACUUAGAAAAAUUACGGGCGCCUAAAAUACGCAUGCGCCAAU
Molecule: long non-coding RNA, 764 nt
Organism: Orbicella faveolata
Lineage: Eukaryota; Metazoa; Cnidaria; Anthozoa; Scleractinia; Merulinidae
Source: RefSeq, a predicted model, not a curated record